RNAcentral lists this ribosomal RNA (253 nucleotides) under uncultured bacterium. RNAcentral describes it as "partial 16S ribosomal RNA". It matches the Rfam family "Bacterial small subunit ribosomal RNA", at positions 524 to 776 of the family's 1533-position model. The record is from RNAcentral.
CACGUAGGGCGCAAGCGUUGUCCGGAAUUAUUGGGCGUAAAGAGCUCGUAGGCGGCCAGUUGCGUCUGCUGUGAAAUCCCGGGGCUCAACCCCGGGCGUGCAGUGGAUACGGGCUGGCUAGAGGCAGGCAGGGGAGAACGGAAUUCCCGGUGUAGCGGUGAAAUGCGCAGAUAUCGGGAGGAACACCGGUGGCGAAGGCGGUUCUCUGGGCCUGUACUGACGCUGAGGAGCGAAAGCGUGGGGAGCGAACAGG